UUUUUUUUUUUUUUUUUUGGAAAAUGUUUAGAUAUUUGGUGAUUUCAUGAAAGGCCCCAAAAGGGAAAACAGUGAUAAACUUGGGAUAAACAGACUUCCAGUGCAGCAGAUAUUUUCAAAAUACCUCUAUCCUCUACUGAGCAGUGUAAGAUUACCUUCUCACUCCUGGAACUUCAGUACAAUGGAAAAUUAACAUAUUUUACAGUAUUUAUUGAAUAAGAGAAAUUGCAAAUAAAAAUAUUUAAUAUUUUGAUCUGUGGGUAUAUCUAUGGAGAGAAGGACAGAGAGAAUGUUAAUUGUACUUUGAGAUAUUUCAUGGUUUCUUAAUGCCAAUUUAGCAGUGAGAGAUGUGGUUCUCCAUGAUUAAUCACUUCCUAGAACAAAAGUUUAGUGAAUUGCACACAGAAAACAGAAAGCUAGUGGUCAAAGAUGGUGCGCUGCUAAGCAUUCAUCUAGCAGAGCAGAGAGAGAUUCUUCAUGGCUGUCCUGUGAUUGAAAUUAUUUAUUCAUCAGGACAAUGUUGCCAUGAUGAGGUUACUGCUUAAGAGUGCAGGGAGCAGUUUGUAGAGCACUUCACAAUAUUGCAAUCAUUUCAUUUCAUUGUUUACCUUGGGUGCACUAAAUACUUUGUGACCAAUCCAUCCUUACAAUAAACACCUUAGACCUGUAUUUUUUCCUAGCAGUCUGCAGUGAGACUGAACCUUGCACUUCAGGAACAUGACUUUUCCAGAGGCAUGACUGGCCUCCUGAUCUAAUUUUCUAAGUAAUAGUUGAUUGGUCCCAGCUGGAUGGAUAUGGACAAAGUGUGCAGAUUUUUGGCAGAACACUCACCUCUGUUGCAUUGCAGUGCCCAUGAUGGGUAGGAAAAGAGUGGAUUGUGCAUUAAAAUCCUGAGUUAUAUUGUUUACUGGAAGUAAAGGGAAGACUUUGAACUAAAUAAUUAUCUUUAACAAGCAAGAUACAAGAGCUCCUAGAUGGAUAAUAAGUUUCUUAUUUAUAUGCUCACCCACUAAAAUGCAAUCAGCAAUAAGAAACUGUUCCUUUAAAAGACACUCAAGUACACUUGCUGCAACAUAAAAAUUUGUUCAGUUAUCCCAACACUUACUAAAGAAGCAAUUAGUUAUAUUUAAACCUGAUAAAGCAAAUCUUCACAGAUGAGAGUUUAUUUAUUUAUUACUAACUCCUUCAUAAUUAAUGGAGUUUCAUUUAGUUGAACCAGUGACUCAGUCACCCAGGAGUGCAAAAGCCAUCAUUCCUGCUGUGUUCUUUGCCUCUGGAAAGCACAAAGCUGAGAGGGGAAAACUCAUGCUGGCUAAUGCUGAUGCCAGUACAUGAGAAUGCUUAAAUAUAUGAAUAUUUGUGAGCAGAGCAGCCCCUGUGAGGAGGAAGGAAAUUUUUUUAAAAUGUGAAAUGCAAAAGCCCAGUGGCAAUCAAUGGGAAUAGGUAAUCAAAAGUAGACCAGGUUCAAAUGAGGAAAAAGGAGGUGUAAUUCCCUCAUCCAGUUAAACCUCAGGACAUACUUAUUCAGCAAACAACUGCCACUGCAUUAGGUUUUUUAAAGAGUCACACCUUUCCCUCACAAUGAGAUAAUGAUUCAUCCAUCAUGGGUAGAAGAGAAGGAUGUUAAACGAAAUCUGUUGCUUGACAAUUAAUGUGGAGCAGAUGAUACUUUUGGAAAGGCUAAUUUAGACAUUCAUCCUAAAUGUUCCAACCUACAAAUAUUAAUAAUGGAAUAGUUUAGUCUGAAAGAGACAUCAGAAGGUCUCCUGUUCAAACUGCUUGCUCAAAGAAGGCUUUUUCAUUAGAACAAGUUUCUCAGGUUCUUGUCCAGUCAAACUAUUAUUAUUUCCAUGGAUGGAGAUCCCAUUUUCCCUUCAAUGAUUCAGUUUAGUGAACACAAAGCUCAGGAGAGUGAGGGAAGAAAUUAACAAACAAAAGUGAGUAAAUUAUUUGCAUUUCCCAAGAUAAGGACAGGAUCAAUUUAUGAUUGAUGUGCUAAAGAGAGAGAGAGGGAAUUGAAAGUUCUUUUUCUUUCCCAUACAGCACAGCAGUCAGAAUAUGUCUUGGACCAGUUACUGGAACUUGAGAUGCAUGGAAAUGGCUGUCAAACACUUAAACAACAGCUGGGAUAGAGAGAGGAACAGACUUUUCUGCAUUUACACUAUGGAUGUAACAGAUGAGCAGAUGAGGUGUAUGCUAACUCUUGAGGAAAAUCUUUCUGAUAGCACAGACAGCAAAACUGGAGUUGUCUUAUUGUAGGUUCUCCUUCAUGGGUGUUCUCAAAUGCCAAUCUGUCAGGAAUGUCUUAUGCACAACUAAUUUGGCCUUGUGCUUGGAGGAUAGACACAGUGAUUUCCCAUUUCAGCUCCAUUUUCCCCAAAUCUGUGAUGGAACAAGAACUUUGAACCUCUUCUAAGGUCUUCUUGUGAACUCUGUGUCAAGGAUUAGAAAGUGGUACACCAGUUCAGCCCUACACAUGUAAAUGGAUAAGAUGAAUGCUUGUAAACCAAGCCUGUGAAAAUGAUAUACCUUAGAUGACAGUUUUAAGAGUAGAGAAAGCUCCAUUUAUAUAUUUAGUAAUGGCUGACAUAACAAAAAAAUACUGUUUUCAAAUGAUGUUCCCUUAAAAAUGGUGUACUCAACAAUACAAGAUGAUUUUUGAGGGCUAGAAAGCUCUGAUCAUUACCUGACCCUUGAUUUCAAAAACUUUGUGUCUUGGAUCUUAUUUAUAGAGCCAGUAUUCUUCAGUAGUGAAACAUCCUGGGACUUGACAGCAGUGGCUGAGUGAAAGUAAAGCAAUAUGGAAGAUUGUUGUUCAAAUCUCUGCACCAAAUCCUACCUUUAUAAUGAGUUAUAGCCAUUUUUUGGUCUCUGUUGAGCACAGCAAUUUGCACUCCUAAUGAAGAAGCACCCAGAUAACAAAACAGCCCUUUGAUAACAAAUCAGUGCCUUUGCCAGUCACAAGAGAGAGACUGAAGACUGAAUGGCCACGUAGAUUGACUAUGUGCAGCAAUUUCCAUAUGGAUGCAUCUGGUGUAGCCACAGUCUCUUUUUACCAGAGGAUCCAACACACAGUAUUCUGCAGAAAUGGGACUAUGAGAGUUCAUACUUGCAUUGUGUGUUCCCUGGAGAUCUAUACAAAUGCUUCAGUUGUUAACAACUAUUUUUUCUUAAACUGCUGUGAUUAAAACAGACCUACUGCAAUCAUAAUACUAUGCAAGUGUUAGCAAUGACUGGAGAAGUGCAAAUUAUAGUCCAGUCUUGUCCUGGUAGCCAAUGAAGUAGGUUCUUGAAAACUAUGAUAUUCACUGCAGGUGGAAAAGAUUUUUUGAAAACCUUCACUGUCCAGCUAAGGAUUAAAAAGCACUUUCAUAGGGAACUGAAAAUGUGUGAAAGCCAAAUUUGUACCCUGUGCUCAAGAAAAAGAUAUCAGCACCAAAACCUGUAGCACAGGUUCAGCAAUAUUUCAGUCCUGCACCUUCACUUAGAAAUCAAAUGUCAUCCAUAGGUACAAGUAUUCACAUAACAGCAUAAAUCAGAUUUACUCAAAUUGCCAUGUUUCUAGGAAAUGAUAUGUGACUUUGGGGGAUCUCUAUUUUGAGCUAGAGGGAGAAGACAUGAAGAAGACCAAGGAUUUGCUUUGCAAUUAGAAAGCAAUGUAAGUUGUGCUUUCUGUUUCACCAGAAUUCAAAUGUGUGCAAGUGAAGUUUGUAAGGAUGGGAAUGGUGUUGAUGAGUGUAUGAAUGAAUGAAAUGCCUUACUCUUGACAAAAAGUGUAUGUAUUCAGAGAUAGGAUUGAAUUCCAAAAAUUUUGUAUUGUUAAGUUUUGCACUAAAUCUCAUGUUGUGGUUACAUAUAGAACAGGGAGAAGGCAUUGUAAAGGUAGGUCAGAACUGUAUGAACUGUUUGCAUUAUUUAUUUAUUUAUUUUAAAUCUCAAUGCUUAGAGUGUUUAUAUACAAGAAUAUCUCUAAUUGUUAAGAAAUUCAUUGCAACUACCCAGGCAGGAUAGUGCAGGACCACACUUCUAUCUUUACCACAGUUUUGGUCACAGUAAUAUAAUCUUUGACUAAUGCCACAAACACACAGAAUAUAUGGUAUUUCCUAUUUCUGAAAAAUAAGAGGCAGGGAAUUGCUCAUUGUAACAAUGUUUAUAAUAUUCAUAACUUGCAACAAGAGAGGGUGUUUUAUCACAGAAGUAGAUUUGUCAUUGGCACCCUGCAAGAGAGAAUGCACUAAACAUGUUUCUGCUGGCUUUCCUGGUCUUUGACACUUCUCUUUAUCAGUCAGCAUAAAAACAUUCCUAGGAAUAGAGGGUUCCUUUAUUUUAGGUCUGACAAAUGUCACUUAUUUAUGGAAAGAGUUUGGGAGAGACUAAGGAGCGGUAUGCAUGCAUACCCCUCUUUUGGGAGAAUCUUGAAUAAGAACAUUGUUUUUAAUAAAAUGUGUGUUGGAACUCAAAUCACACACUCACAUUGUUGUCCCAUCAGCGAAUAAAGCACAUGGGGGAUUUGUGUUCCUGCUGAGUCUCCCACCUCAAAGGAUGGAUGGAAGUUUUCCCCCUCUUCAAUUUUUACCUAUUCUUGGCCCCUGAAAAUUCUUCACUGUUACUGUGCUAUGGCAUGGUGGCAGCUCAGUCAGAGUUGCAGGACACUUUGUAAGCAGAAAGACAGAAAAAAAAUAGUGAUUCCUCUCCCAAAGAGCAGAAAAAUAAAGGCAGAUAGAAGACAGCAGACAGAUACAGUCAGAUGUGGGGCUAAAAUGAAACAGUAAGAAAAUGUUACAUGCUGUGACAACCAGCAAUUCCCAGCAGACCUGCAUCAUAAUUGCUGUGAAAUUUCUCAGUUCUUGCUGUUAAAGUAGAAAAACAGCAAAAGAAGGCUUUAAAGGUGGCAGUCUGUUGGCUUUGCUUGUGUUUUGAACUUCUGUUUCUUCUAAGGCGAACAUAAGGGUCCCAAGAACGUUACUCCUUCAAAACGUUACAAGGAAGAGAAGGUAUGGGUUGACCUGGGGUGGAAAUCAGUGUUUAUUUUACACCAUUUAUCAACAAGUCUGCAUGUAAAUGAGGUAGAAAAUGAGGUUUAUCUUAUCACCUGGUUUGUGCUACCCAGAACCUCUCCACCUGUAUCUGGGACAAGUUUUGGGUCCAGCUGGAGGGUACUUCAUCUGCUCUAAGCAGUAUAUUAUACCAGCUGUUCUGUAAAAAUUGUUAUGUAUAUUUGGGAGACUGCUAUAUUUUUCUUCUGAGAGUUAAAGUUUAAAUCAGUUAACCUGAAAGUCUUCCUUUUAAAAUUGAUAUGAUCUGCAAAUUCUUUUCCACUGACACUUCUAGAAAAUGUGGAAUGUUUCUACUAUGCAAUUCUUCAACCAUUUCCACAAUUUUGCUGUUACCAUUUCCCUAAGGGGAUUUGAUUUGUUUGUUUAUUUCAAAAGAAUCCUAUUUUUCUAGCAUCCCUUAUACCUCCAGCAACCUUUAGAAUUUCUUAUCUACCUUUGCAGUUUUCCCUCUGCUGGUGACAGUAAUCUCAUUAUAAUCUAUUCCAGCCUGCAGAGAAUUCUAAUGAAAUCUCUACAGUGUGCCCCAGCACACUUGUAAUAAAGGCAGGGUGACUCACACACUGAAGUUUCUAAGCAGUGGUUGAGGAGGGAGAGGACUGGAUAAUUCAGAGAACUGGUAAGGUUAUCAUGACAACUAUUUCAGUUUCAAAUCUGUUGAGAAGGAAUCAAACUGCUGUGGGUUGCUGAUUAAUUGUUGGAUAAUGUGAGAUUUUAUCCCUGUAUUUCCAGAGUGUUUUCAUCCAAGAAUUUCAAAACUUAAUAUGCGUGUUCUGUCACAGGGAACAGAAAGAAACACACAGAACUGAGAGGAAAAUAUACUGAGAAGAUCUUCGUAACAGACUGAAAAAGACUGUGAUGCAGCGUUGUGUCAAGCCAGCAAAAAAUUUGUGUGUAUUUCUUGAUCUUACACUGCUAACUAAUUAGGCUUAAUAUGUCCAGUGUGCUUCAAAUGAGGUAUUAAGUGCACUGCAGAAUAUGUUUCAGCUCUUAUAACCAGUAGGAAUAAUCCUGUUAAGGUGAUUGGGCCAAUUCCCUGGGUGACAUGCAUAACGCUGGUAGUAAUUCCAGUAUGCUGAAUUACAUUUCCUUUGUACAUGGACAUGGCCAUAUUUUUGUAAACCUAACACAAAACAAAAUGAGCAAGGCAUCAACCUAAAAGAAUAUCCUACUUGCUUCAUAUUACUAUAUUUUCAUAAUUGAAAUAAUAUCUACUAAACUAUAUUAAUAAAUUAAAUCAAGCUUAGUAAUGUUCCUAAGGGGAAAAACAUUUAGCUAAUAUUCACCAUUUAUUUAGCCAAUUUAUUGGCUUAUAUCCGUGUGUCUUCUAACAUUCAGAGUAUUAGCAAUUUCUUUUGCUGUUUAAAUUUGAUUAGUUUAUGCUAUUUAAAAUUUCUGUAACAAAAUAAAAUACAAUACCUGUAGCUCAAAACUAUCAAGCUACAGAAAAUACUUUUUACUUUCUCAAGUCUUAUCAGUACUGAAUGAGGAGCAUUUGUCCUAACUAAUUAGGUACUUAGGAAUAUAGAAACAAGGAUUAUAUUUUCUAAGAGAUAAAUAAAACCACAUCUAUCUAUCUGUCUAUCUUCUCUUAUUUUAUACAAAGCUACAUUUACAGAUCCAUAGAGAUCUUCUGUAGCAGAACAAACUGUUGUCCCCAUGCCCCAAACCAAUGAGGACAGUGCAGAAAUAUUUGAUAGACAUGACACCAAGUAGGUUCUUGCUAAACUAAUAAAAAUUUCUUUGUGAGAUGUUGGCAAGGAAUGAGAUUAUUUAUCUUCAAUAACACAGCUAACCUAACCUUCUUUUCCCAUUUUGUGGUCCCACUACUGCAUUGAUGAUACUGGUCCCAUGCCAACACCUUCCCAGUCAUCUUCUGGCCCCAGUCACUGUCCUUUCACUGACCUGCAGGUAACUUUAAAACCACCCACUGACCCAGAAUUGUGUCUUAGUCAUUUUACAUUAUUUCUGAAACAACAGGUUUGCAUAAAUUGAGAUAUGGGCAAUAGAAAUUUUUUUGGCCAUGAUUGUGUAAACAAGAGGUAGCUUUUCAUUUUUCUGGAGGGAAAAGUCAGCUUGGAUGACCCUGAAAGCAGGUACGUUCUCAGCAACCCAGCAUGCUUGUGAUGGUUAAUCCCUGCUCAUAGGACUUUAAAAAAUAUGUAUAAAGGGUAGGUAUUUCCUCCUCCAGUACUCCUGUGGCAGUGUGUGUGGCAUAAGCUUAUCAUUUCAAAAGCCUUUUAAGCCUAUUGCCCAUUGGGAAUCUGUUAGUAAUUUUAGGAGUGACUAGGGCACAUUCUUGCCCCAAGUUACCAUCAAAUAUUAUUAAACUUGAGAGUUUUUCUCCUUCACAAGCCCUUCUCUCCUCACACCACAUCUGAUUUCAUCCCAGGUCAAUCAAGUUAUCAGAUCAAUGUCUUUGGUAAAGACUUCUAGCACCUUUCUUGUUUUCUCUUAGUUUAUUCUUGUUUCUUUCUGUGGAGGGCAAUUUCUAAUUUUCAUCAUUACUCAUCUAUAAAUAUGUCUCACUUUUUACUAACCUGAUUUCACACUUGUGAAAUGAAGACUGCAUAAUCACCAUAAAAAGCUAGAACCAACUUAACUGGAGAUAUUAAGGUUGCUCUUAGGGACCUGAUUACAAGCUUGCUUAGAUCUAAAGCUAUUUUAAAUUGCUUCACUGCUGCAAAACGUUUUUAUGUUCUAAAUACAUUUUGUGCUGGUGUAGCUUAUGGUUGCAUAACACCCUUCACUCUUUUGCCAGUGACAUGUGGGCAAAAUUGGAUCCACUUCCAGAUCCACAUCUUAUUAAUUUCUAAGCUGAACUCUGUAAUAGUUUUGCCUUUAGAUAUAGACUUUGAGGUUUCACCCUUAAAUUACAAACUAUUCAGAGUAUGGGACAGCUAUUCCUAGUUUAAAAAGAUGCUACGAUCUGCCAUUUACAAAUAACACAGGUUUAACCAGAUAUUUGGCUUGAAGGACAUUACCAGGAAUCUAGAUAGCAGGAACAAAGCAAUUGUUCCUGAUGGCACCACUUGCCUUUGUAGUAAAUGGUGAAGUUACAUUUGUUUUAAAAUAGAGACAUAACAUUAGAAUCACAUUUUCAGUACAGAGAAGGGGAUCCAAAAUAUUCUUGGUAGCUCAGUGAAAGACCAUACCUUGCAGUUGUGCUCUGCAUUCCACCAUCCUCUCAGGUGACUCUAUUUUGCCUUUUAAGUCUUGACUGUGAUGUGGUUAAGUCCAGUACAAAGCAAGGACUUUACUGAAAAAAAUUAUUUUUCAUUCUAGUCAGAGGACCCUAUGUUCUCUCAAGAAAGGCUCUCACUGCUGGUGAUCAGUAUUUGAAAUGCAGUAACUAAUUUUGGUAUAUUUCUUUAGUGAUUUUUUUUUUUUUUUUAAACAAUGGUUUCAUCUUAUUAUAAACUCAGUGGAAAAAUGUCCAUGUCACCAUAAAGCUCCAGUCCCUGCAGUUCAGAUCACAGAAAUAGUCAAUGUUCCCUGUUUUUGCAAAUGG
This is a long non-coding RNA of Taeniopygia guttata (zebra finch), 8565 nucleotides long. NCBI's taxonomy places the organism in Eukaryota, Metazoa, Chordata, Aves, Passeriformes, Estrildidae. The record is from Ensembl.